UACGUAGGGGGCAAGCGUUAUCCGGAUUUACUGGGUGUAAAGGGAGCGCAGGCGGCAUGGCAAGUCAGGAGUGAAAGCCCACGGCUCAACCGUGGGACUGCUCUUGAAACUGUCAGGCUAGAUUUCAGGAGGGGUAAGCGGAAUUCCUGGUGUAGCGGUGAAAUGCGUAGAUAUCAGGAGGAACACCGGUGGCGAAGGCGGCUUACUGGACUGACAAUGACGCUCAUGCUCGAAAGCGUGGGGAG
Molecule: ribosomal RNA, 245 nt
Filed under: uncultured Lachnospiraceae bacterium
Lineage: Bacteria; Bacillati; Bacillota; Clostridia; Lachnospirales; Lachnospiraceae
Description: partial 16S ribosomal RNA
Rfam family: Bacterial small subunit ribosomal RNA
Source: RNAcentral